GCCCUGUUAGCUCAGUUGGUUAGAGCACUGUGCUAAUAACGCAGGGGUCACAGGUUCGAUCCCUGUACGGGGCA
RNAcentral lists this transfer RNA (74 nucleotides) under Haematococcus lacustris. Its description in RNAcentral is "Haematococcus pluvialis tRNA". It matches the Rfam family "tRNA". From Rfam's summary of the family: Transfer RNA (tRNA) molecules are approximately 80 nucleotides in length. Their secondary structure includes four short double-helical elements and three loops (D, anti-codon, and T loops). The record is from Rfam by way of RNAcentral. Lineage: Eukaryota; Viridiplantae; Chlorophyta; Chlorophyceae; Chlamydomonadales; Haematococcaceae.